This 2161-nucleotide long non-coding RNA is filed under the name Urocitellus parryii (Arctic ground squirrel). RNAcentral describes it as "lncRNA (ENSUPAG00010007489.1)". The record is from RNAcentral. Lineage: Eukaryota; Metazoa; Chordata; Mammalia; Rodentia; Sciuridae.
CACACACACACACACACACACACACACACACACUCACGCACAGCCUACCCCAUCCAAAAUGUUUCCGACAAAAAUCUGGCACUCCUGGUUCUAAUCAAAAUACUGAACUUUGGAACAAAUUAACAUUCCGCAGCCUGCAGGGAAGGGGGAACUCAGCCGAGACAACUUCGGCUCACAACCAUCACAAAAAUAGCUCCUCCUGGGGAAGACACAUUCUGCUAACAAGGUCACUUUUGUUUGGCUUCUCCUGCCAUCUGGCUGAGUGGCACCAGGGGCUGGCUCUGGGACCAGCUAAAUUCUGCAGCGUGGAUGGGAGCCGGGUGGCACCGCAGAAGGCUUCUCAGCCUCCUGGCAAGAAAAGUCGGUGCAAAGUUACCUUCAGACACCCCAGAAAGAGCACRGGCAGAUGGAGCCCCGGUUUCACCCAGCCCUGCUCUGCUCGGCUCUGCACUGAAGCUUGCAGGAGGUGUCACUCCAGAGACAGCAACAAGCAGGUCCUCAUCUGUAGAAUGGAGAUCACUUGCCCAGACCCUGAGCAGCUAUGGGGAAAGGGGACAAGGAGGGCGAAUGUCCUGGCCUAGAGCACCUGGCUGAGGUCCUCUGGAGAGAACGCGCUGGAAUCCUGAGCUCUGUGUUCAUUCCCAGAGGGCUUGCAUGCCGAGGAAGCUUCUGCAGCACUUGACGUGGCCCAGAUGGUCUGGCUGGAACUCUCUGGGUGUGAAGGCAGGGCUGGGUCUUGAGCAUUGGUACUUUUCCUUUUCCCCCCAAAGAUGAUGCUUCUUUGAUGCCAGUGAUUUUGUCUUCUAAAGUAGCUUGAAAAACAAUGAAUGCAGACACAAAAUAUUGCUUACAGCUAUGAGGAAUUUGUGACAUACUGAAGCCAUCUAUCUCCUGGGAGGAAUCCAAGGGGUCCCAGAAUAUCUCCUGGGGACCAAAGGAGGGGAACAAAAAUCUUCAAUCCCAUAGAGGAAGAAACUUCAAAUGACCUACUCUCAAGGAAAAUAGGUUGAUAACACAUCUUUUUCAGGAUUUAAUAUUUUUUUAAAAAAAAGACAAAUGAAGGGACUUUGACUUCCAGGUGAGCUGAAUCCAGUCUCCAGGGGGUUUGAAGCAAGGUGGUUCAGGGGCCUGGGAUUCUACAGCUGGGGUGGGGGAUGACAAGGGAGUUGUAGGGUUUCCCCCAAAGUGGAUUGGAAACUUUACCUCCUGGGUGACAGAGUUGGGAGGCGGGGCUUAAUGGGAGGUCUGUAGGUCACGAGGACUCCAGGACCCUUGCCAACAGAUCAAUGCCCAUUGUAAAAGGGCUUGGGCUCCUGUUCCAUCUCUUGCUGGCUCUCUGUCACCUUAUCGUGCCCUACUACCUUCUGCCACAGGAGUAUGCAGCACCAUGUCCCCCCAGCAGAUGCAGGGCCCUCACCUGGGACUUCCUGGCCUCUAGAACUGUAAGAACAAAUUUUUAUGCUUCUAAAUGUCCAGUCUGUGGUGUUCUGUGAUAGCAACGCAAGGCAGAGCUCCUCUAGAGAUUACCCACCACUUCAAGUACACGCAGCAAGUAUAUAGGGAGCUUUAGUUAUGCCAGGCAAUGUGUUCAGGUCUCGGUACAUGGCAGAGCAGGAAAGAACUUGAAGUCUCCUUCAGUGUGGAUAGAAGAAGUGAGCCAGACGUCUAUCACAUAGCCACUCAGAGAAGGGAGGGGGGUGGGCCGAGGGCAGAAAUUGACAUCCUACGUAGGGAAACACAGGCCACUGUAAUAUCUUGACAUAGAAAAGGACAGCAGUGGACCCAGAAUGUUCUUAUUUAAUGGAUAUAGGUUUUUGUCAGAGGAUCAGAAAUUCCUCCCCUGCCCACCCCCUCACUUUCUCUCUCUCUCUCUCUCUCUCUCUCUCUCUCUCUCUCUCUCUCUCUCCCUCUCCCUCUCUCUCUCUCUCUCCCUCUCUCUUUCUGUGCAGAGGACUGAACCUAGCACCUUGCACCUGCUAAGCAAGGACUCUAUCCCUGAGCUCCACCCACAACUCGGCUCCUGAGUCUCCUAUAGAAAAGAUAGUCAGUAGGCCGGGCUGUGGCUCAGUGGUGGAGUGUUCGCCUAGCAUGUGUGAGGCCCUGGGUCCGAUCCUCAGCACCACAUAAAAAUAAAAUAAUAAAAAAAUAGGUAUUGUGUCCA